UUGAACGCUGGCGGCAGGCCUAACACAUGCAAGUCGCGCGGAUGAAGGGAGCUUGCUCCUGGAUUCAGCGGCGGACGGGUGAGUAAUGCCGAGGAAUCUGCCUGGUAGUGGGGGAUAACGUCCGGAAACGGGCGCUAAUACCGCAUACGUCCUGAGGGAGAAAGUGGGGGAUCUUCGGACCUCACGCUAUCAGAUGAGCCUAGGUCGGAUUAGCUAGUUGGUGGGGUAAAGGCCUACCAAGGCGACGAUCCGUAACUGGUCUGAGAGGAUGAUCAGUCACACUGGAACUGAGACACGGUCCAGACUCCUACGGGAGGCAGCAGUGGGGAAUAUUGGACAAUGGGCGAAAGCCUGAUCCAGCCAUGCCGCGUGUGUGAAGAAGGUCUUCGGAUUGUAAAGCACUUUAAGUUGGGAGGAAGGGCAGUAAGUUAAUACCUUGCUGUUUUGACGUUACCAACAGAAUAAGCACCGGCUAACUUCGUG
RNAcentral lists this ribosomal RNA (483 nucleotides) under uncultured bacterium. RNAcentral's name for it is "partial 16S ribosomal RNA". It matches the Rfam family "Bacterial small subunit ribosomal RNA", at positions 30 to 507 of the family's 1533-position model. The record is from RNAcentral.